GAAAGUAGGCGAGGUGAUCGCAAUUGAUGGGUGUUGCCCUUGGGUAACAGUCAUCGGUUGAGGAAAGUCCGGGCUCCCCGAUGGCCAGGCUUGCUGGGUAAUGCCCAGUGCGGGUGACCGUGAGGAGAGUGCCACAGAAACACACCGCCGAUGGCCGGUUCUGCCGGCACAGGCAAGGGUGCAAAGGUGCGGUAAGAGCGCACCAGCAGCAUCGAGAGGUGCUGGCUCGGUAAACCCCGGCUGGGAGCAAGGCCUAGGAACGACGGGUGGCCAUCUUCCCCGUUCCGCCAUAGUGCGCCGCUCGAGGUCGUCGGUAACGGCGAUCCCAGAUAGAUGAUCACCCCCCUUCCUUGGAAGGGUGAACAGAACCCGGCUUAUGUCCUGCUUUCACCC
RNAcentral lists this RNase P RNA (393 nucleotides) under Synechococcus sp. AH-707-M23. RNAcentral describes it as "RNase P RNA component class A". It matches the Rfam family "Bacterial RNase P class A". From Rfam's summary of the family: Ribonuclease P (RNase P) is a ubiquitous endoribonuclease, found in archaea, bacteria and eukarya as well as chloroplasts and mitochondria. Its best characterised activity is the generation of mature 5'-ends of tRNAs by cleaving the 5'-leader elements of precursor-tRNAs. The record is from RNAcentral. Lineage: Bacteria; Bacillati; Cyanobacteriota; Cyanophyceae; Synechococcales; Synechococcaceae.